UUGAAUCCAUAGGAUGUUGCUGGCCUUUCGGGGCAUGUGCACUCCGCCCUUUCAAUCCACCUGUGAACUUAUUGUAGGCCGGACGUAAAAAAUCCGUGUCUAUGUUUUUAAUACACCCUAAAAAAAAGUCUAUAGAAUGUCUAAUAGUAGACCUUAGAUGGUCGAAAUUUAAUA
This 174-nucleotide unclassified non-coding RNA is filed under the name uncultured Clavariaceae. Its description in RNAcentral is "sequence contains ITS1". Lineage: Eukaryota; Fungi; Basidiomycota; Agaricomycetes; Agaricales; Clavariaceae. The record is from RNAcentral.